Molecule: ribosomal RNA, 424 nt
Filed under: uncultured bacterium
Lineage: Bacteria
Description: partial 16S ribosomal RNA
Rfam family: Bacterial small subunit ribosomal RNA
Source: RNAcentral
AAUAUUGGACAAUGGGGGAACCCCUUUUCAGCCCUUACCUGUUGUUUAAUAAAGACUUUGGCUUUUUAAACAACUUUAGGUGGGGAGGAGGGGUUUUAGCAUAUUCCUUGCAAUUUUUGCUGUUCCAACUGAAAAACGCCCAGCUUAUUUCCGUUCAGGCAGCCGCGGUAAUACGAAGGGUGCAAGCGUUAAUCGGAAUUACUGGGCGUAAAGCGCGCGUAGGUGGUUCGUUAAGUUGGAAGUGAAAGCCCCGGGCUUAACCUGGGAAUUGCUUUCAAAACUGACGAGCUAGAGUACGGUAGAGGGUAGUGGAAUUUCCUGUGUAGCGGUGAAAUGCGUAGAUAUAGGAAGGAACAUCAGUGGCGAAGGCGACUACCUGGACUGAUACUGACACUGAGGUGCGAAAGCGUGGGGAGCAAACAGG